CAGUCGCCGCGGUAAUACGGAGGGGGCUAGCGUUGUUCGGAAUUACUGGGCGUAAAGCGCACGUAGGCGGCUUUGUAAGUUAGAGGUGAAAGCCCGGAGCUCAACUCCGGAAUUGCCUUUAAGACUGCAGAGCUAGCAGGUGAGAGAGGUAAGUGGAAUUCCGAGUGUAGAGGUGAAAUUCGUAGAUAUUCGGAAGAACACCAGUGGCGAAGGCGGCUUACUGGCUCAUACUGGACGCUGAGGUGCGAAAGCGUGGGGAGCAAACAGGAUUAGAUACCCCCGUAGUCCCUGUCUCUUAUAC
Molecule: ribosomal RNA, 301 nt
Filed under: uncultured bacterium
Lineage: Bacteria
Description: partial 16S ribosomal RNA
Rfam family: Bacterial small subunit ribosomal RNA
Source: RNAcentral